AACAUACCUCAUUAAAAAAAACUAAUAAAUAUUAUAAUUAUAAAUGUGGUGUUAAACCUAUAUAAGACCAUUGAAAUACGUUCACAAUAACAAUCACCUGUAAGUCUCUUUAUUGUUUGUUACGUAUAUAAAGAAAACAAAACCAUCAGCCAUGAAACUGUUACUGUUUUUUUCAGCCAUUCUCUCAAUCGUUGCUUGGGCAAGUGCAAAAUCACAACUCUUCUGUGAAGCAGCGUGCGCAAGUGACAACCAUCCCGUCUGUGGUACUGACGGAAAGACAUAUACCAACAAAUGCUUCUGCGAGUGUCGCGGUGCGAAGGUUGCCCACAAUGGCGCUUGUUAAUAACCUGAACAUGGAUAAUUCAUCUAUUGAGAACUUUGAAGCAAAUUUAAUAUAAUAUGAUCAUAAUAUUUUUAUAAUGUUAUUCAAAACAAAUUAAAGCAAUAAUUCAUUUUAAAUUUUUGUUUUAUUUAAUUGGGCUGUUGUUGGCGGUAUUGAAAUAAUUCAUCCCCUACCCUCCACCAGAAUAUGACAUCGGUACUCAAAGACUUUAUUCCAGGAGGGUACAGUCAGAGAAUCCCCCCACGAGCAUUUUCGCCCGAGCUGCCCGUCGUAUUCUGGCGAAGUCACGGAAUCACACGUGUCCGAGGACAAACGAGGCAGUUAUACCACUGCAUACACGACAGACACAGAUAUAUUUACCUAGCAAUACGUCAUAUUCCUAUAGAUCCAAAAGAAGCUUUUUGAGGCGUUCUGUAUGCAGCGAUACCCACCACCCUAGCGCCCUGGUAACAUUGGUCUAGUGAUUGAUUAGUUAUUGUGCUCGAUUUUCACUAACCGUUGCGAAAUGGCUGUCGCUUGCUGGUUAACCGUCAAACUGUCACCGAAAGGCACCGAAGAGGAUGGGAUGAAGAGUUCCAUACCUUGCAGUAUCAUAUCAGCAACAGCGUAAACAGCGGCUUCUGAAUCAUACAGCGAAAAACAGGUUUGCCUCCACGAGAAAGACGCAAAUAAAACCGCAUCUCAUCAAACACUGCUAACCUAUAGUGCCACACGCAGCAGUAAGCUAAACAAUGGAGCUGUCUGAUCCGGCGCGUGAUAGGCACAGUGCUCCGGAUCAGAGAGUGAUCAGAUGACCACAGAGGAGGGUCAGGGAAACUAGGUAGCCGCCCGGAAGUGAGGUCAACAGAAGGUUCAACACUGCAGAUGUAUGAUCGCAAUACCCAGUUGUGUCCGACCAUGUGCUAAGGCGAAGUCGUGAACAGACAUUACAUGAUCGGUGGUACGUGAGCCUCGCCAUUCAGUGUGGUGGGCGUUAAAAUCGCCAAAAAACACGAUCUCCGCUUUGGGGGUCUAUUCCUACACGGAAUCUCCAGCCAUUUGGAAGUGCUCUUGGUGCCGGGCCGAGCGGUAACGCUCUCGGAUCUUCUGGGACUCCUUUUAAUAUGGGGGUACCACAAGGGUCAAGUCUUCGACCAUUUUUUAUGAAAGAGGAGAACACAGGAGCCUAUGGGUCACCUGAUGUUAAGUGAUCACCACAGCCCAUAUUCUCUUGCAACUCCAGAGGCAUCACAGCAGCGUUGCCGGCCUUUUUAAAAAUUUACCCGCUUUUUUUAAGGUACCCAUGUCAUAUCGUCCUGGAAACACCGCACAAAAUAGCCCACAUAGCUUUGUUGAACGUGGAAGCCAGCCUCUU
Long non-coding RNA from Leptidea sinapis, 1697 nucleotides. RefSeq lists it as uncharacterized. The record is from RefSeq and is a predicted model, not a curated record. NCBI's taxonomy places the organism in Eukaryota, Metazoa, Arthropoda, Insecta, Lepidoptera, Pieridae. The transcript has 4 exons.